AACGCUAGCGGCAGGCUUAACACAUGCAAGUCGAGGGGUAUUGGUUUUCGGACCAAGAGACCGGCGCACGGGUGCGUAACGCGUAUGCAAUCUACCUUUUGCAGAGGGAUAGCCCAGAGAAAUUUGGAUUAAUACCUCAUAGUAUAGCAGUUUCGCAUGAAACCACUUAUUAAAGUCACAACGGUGAAAGAUGAGCAUGCGUCCCAUUAGCUAGUUGGUAAGGUAACGGCUUACCAAGGCAACGAUGGGUAGGGGUCCUGAGAGGGAGAUCCCCCACACUGGUACUGAGACACGGACCAGACUCCUACGGGAGGCAGCAGUGAGGAAUAUUGGACAAUGGGCGCAAGCCUGAUCCAGCCAUGCCGCGUGCAGGAUGACGGUCCAAUGGAUUGUAAACUGCUUUUAUACAGGAAGAAACACUACUUCGUGAAGUAGCUUGACGGUACUGUAAGAAUAAGGAUCGGCUAACUCCGUG
This 475-nucleotide ribosomal RNA is filed under the name uncultured bacterium. Its description in RNAcentral is "bacterial SSU rRNA". It matches the Rfam family "Bacterial small subunit ribosomal RNA", at positions 32 to 507 of the family's 1533-position model. The record is from RNAcentral.